This is a long non-coding RNA of Cyprinus carpio (common carp), 218 nucleotides long. RefSeq lists it as uncharacterized. NCBI's taxonomy places the organism in Eukaryota, Metazoa, Chordata, Actinopteri, Cypriniformes, Cyprinidae. The transcript has 2 exons. The record is from RefSeq and is a predicted model, not a curated record.
AGGACGUGAAGAGACAGAAGAUUAGGACGUUUCCUCUAAAAUGAGUCAACAAGAGAAGAGAGAGGAGGACACUGCCUCUAAAAUAAGCUGUGAUCAACCCACGAAGAGUCAGCCCUCUGCCUCCAGUGAAGCAGAAAUGACCUCUGAACCCAACAUCACAAAGAGGAAGAAACAGAGAUCUCCAGAACCCAGCAGUGUGUCUCUGAAGAGUGACACAU